AAAUCAGGAUACUGUGUAGUAGA
Molecule: non-coding RNA, 23 nt
Filed under: Arabidopsis thaliana (thale cress)
Lineage: Eukaryota; Viridiplantae; Streptophyta; Magnoliopsida; Brassicales; Brassicaceae
Source: RNAcentral